UUAAACUAUUAAAAAAAAGUUAAUUAAUUCAAUAAAAAUAAAAUAGAAAUAUUAAUAAUUUAUAUAAAAAAAUUAAUUUUUAAUGGUGAAAUAUAGAAAAUUAUAAAUUUAUAUAAUUAAAUAUAAUAUAAUUUUAAAGUUUAUAAAAUAAACUAGGAUUAGAUACCCUAUUAUAAUAAAAAAAAAAUUAGUAUUAAAGUAUUAAAUGUUAAAUCAUUAAAUUUAUAAGAUUUGGCGGUAUUUUAUACAAAUUAGGGGAACUUGUUUAGUAAUUGAUGAACCACGAUAAGAUUUACUUAAUUUAAUAUUUAUGUAUUGCUGUUUAAAAAUGUAUUUUAAGAAUAUAAGUUAUAAUUUAAAAAAUAUAAAAUAAUUCAAGUCAAAAUAUAGUUUAGUUAAGAUAAAAUGAGUUACAAAAAAAUAAAUUUAUAUGAAUUUUUAAAUUUAAUUAUAAAAUGAAGGUGGAUUUAAAAGUA
This 476-nucleotide ribosomal RNA is filed under the name Ancistrocerus parietum. RNAcentral's name for it is "partial small subunit ribosomal RNA". Lineage: Eukaryota; Metazoa; Arthropoda; Insecta; Hymenoptera; Vespidae. The record is from RNAcentral.